CCUCCGGGGGCAGGAGGUUCGACUCGAGCGAAGCGAGAGAACGUUGCGUCAGCAACGGCCCGCAGGGCGAGUCACGCAGUGGCGAGUCAUCCUCUAUCACCGACCA
RNAcentral lists this small RNA (106 nucleotides) under Salmonella enterica. RNAcentral describes it as "partial RtT sRNA". It matches the Rfam family "RtT RNA", at positions 29 to 130 of the family's 130-position model. Rfam says of the family: This family represents a bacterial cis-regulatory element known as RtT RNA. RNAcentral also lists the same sequence under 2 other names. Lineage: Bacteria; Pseudomonadati; Pseudomonadota; Gammaproteobacteria; Enterobacterales; Enterobacteriaceae. The record is from RNAcentral.